GACGAACGCUGGCGGCGUGCCUAAUACAUGCAAGUAGGACGCACAGUUUAUACCGUAGCUUGCUACACCAUAGACUGUGAGUUGCGAACGGGUGAGUAACGCGUAGGUAACCUGCCUAUUAGAGGGGGAUAACUAUUGGAAACGAUAGCUAAUACCGCAUAACAGUAUGUAACACAUGUUAGAUGCUUGAAAGAUGCAAUUGCAUCGCUAGUAGAUGGACCUGCGUUGUAUUAGCUAGUAGGUAGGGUAAUGGCCUACCUAGGCGACGAUACAUAGCCGACCUGAGAGGGUGAUCGGCCACACUGGGACUGAGACACGGCCCAGACUCCUACGGGAGGCAGCAGUAGGGAAUCUUCGGCAAUGGGGGGAACCCUGACCGAGCAACGCCGCGUGAGUGAAGAAGGUUUUCGGAUCGUAAAGCUCUGUUGUUAAGGAAGAACGAGUGUGAGAAUGGAAAGUUCAUACUGUGACGGUACUUAACCAGAAAGGGACGGCUAACUACGUGCCAGCAGCCGCGGUAAUACGUAGGUCCCGAGCGUUGUCCGGAUUUAUUGGGCGUAAAGCGAGCGCAGGCGGUUAGAAAAGUCUGAAGUGAAAGGCAGUGGCUCAACCAUUGUAGGCUUUGGAAACUGUUUAACUUGAGUGCAGAAGGGGGGAGUGGAAUUCCAUGUGUAGCGGUGAAAUGCGUAGAUAUAUGGAGGAACACCGGUGGCGAAAGCGGCUCUCUGGUCUGUAACUGACGCUGAGGCUCGAAAGCGUGGGGAGCGAACAGG
RNAcentral lists this ribosomal RNA (773 nucleotides) under Streptococcus anginosus. Its description in RNAcentral is "bacterial SSU rRNA". It matches the Rfam family "Bacterial small subunit ribosomal RNA", at positions 28 to 776 of the family's 1533-position model. Lineage: Bacteria; Bacillati; Bacillota; Bacilli; Lactobacillales; Streptococcaceae. The record is from RNAcentral.